Long non-coding RNA from Varanus komodoensis (Komodo dragon), 483 nucleotides. RefSeq lists it as uncharacterized. The record is from RefSeq and is a predicted model, not a curated record. The transcript has 2 exons. Lineage: Eukaryota; Metazoa; Chordata; Lepidosauria; Squamata; Varanidae.
UGGUAAGCUGCUGCUGCCACUACUCCCAGUGCCUCCUACUCCUCCAGGACUACCAACACCGCCAGGUCCACCAGAGCAUGCACCCUCCUCUUUGCUUUUUCCUCAAAAGAUCACACUUUCAAGAAUUAUGAACCACAGGAGAGCUAAAGUGGAAUCCAACAAGCCACACUGUUUGAAGAGCUCCAAAGCAGAAAGGACCUUCUUAGGGUUAUUUGAAGAUUGCUCCUCCUUCCAACAAGCCAUGCCUCCAGGGUUUGGAAAACAUGACAAGCUACACACGCAUGGGUAAAUAAGCAAAUGGUGUCCAGCAUGUACUGCAGCUUCAACAGGCCCCAUAGUUUGCUUAAGACAUGGUGAUCCUGCAAACCAGGUCAAUGGGUUUGUUGUACCAAUCCCUAUCAUUCAGAAUAAAGCAUGCUAUAAGCAGAGACCAGAAAAAGCAAUUGUACCUUAAAUAUACAUUAAAAUAUCACUUCAAAAUGA